This 253-nucleotide ribosomal RNA is filed under the name uncultured bacterium. RNAcentral's name for it is "partial 16S ribosomal RNA". It matches the Rfam family "Bacterial small subunit ribosomal RNA", at positions 524 to 776 of the family's 1533-position model. The record is from RNAcentral.
GCCGAACCUUGCGCACGUUGUUCGGAAUCACUGGGCUUAAAGGGCGCGUAGGCGGGCGUCCAAGUCAGGGGUGAAAUCUUUCGGCCUAACCGGAAAAGUGCCCCUGAUACUGGACACCUCGAGGGAGGUAGGGGCGUGUGGAACUUCCGGUGGAGCGGUGAAAUGCGUAGAUAUCGGAAGGAACGCCGGUGGCGAAAGCGACGCGCUGGACCUCUUCUGACGCUGAGGCGCGAAAGCCAGGGGAGCAAACGGG